RNAcentral lists this ribosomal RNA (253 nucleotides) under uncultured bacterium. RNAcentral's name for it is "partial 16S ribosomal RNA". It matches the Rfam family "Bacterial small subunit ribosomal RNA", at positions 524 to 776 of the family's 1533-position model. The record is from RNAcentral.
UACGAAGGGUGCAAGCGUUGUUCGGAUUUACUGGGCGUAAAGAGCGCGUAGGCGGGAAUUCAAGUCAGGUGUGAAAUCUCGGGGCCUAACCCCGAAACUGCGCCUGAAACUGAUUUUCUUGAAUAUCGGAGAGGAAAGGGGAAUUUCACAUGUAGGGGUAAAAUCCGUAGAGAUGUGAAGGAAUGUUCGAGGCGAAAGCGCCUUUCUAGACGAUUAUUGACGCUGAGGCGCGAAAGCGUGGGGAGCAAACAGG